Molecule: long non-coding RNA, 446 nt
Filed under: Nicotiana benthamiana
Lineage: Eukaryota; Viridiplantae; Streptophyta; Magnoliopsida; Solanales; Solanaceae
Description: long non-coding RNA (NBEN_LNC005544)
Source: RNAcentral
GCAUAUUCUGUUCCACUUAUAAAUGAUCUUCAUUUUUCUGGUUUGUGUCUGCUAAACCUUUUCCGGUUCAUAUUUUCUCAACCUUGUGUAUUCUGUACGGUGGGCGUGUGACCUUAGAUCUGCUCAGUAAUGUAAUUCAAUGUGUUGUGCAGGAUGAUUAUUUGUCAUAAUUUGACGCUGGAGGUUUUGACUUUGCACAAAGUUUUACUCCAUUGGUGCUGAUUACAAGAACUUGGUGUAAAGUUUGAUAUCUAAUAAUGGAUAGAAAGGAUACGUCAGGAUUCGUAAGCGGGGGUGGGAUGUGCUCUUUUUGACACAUCUAACCCUAGUUUAGCCUCUAAUCAAUUCUUAGCCCGGAAAUUAGCCUCUAACUAAUUCUUAGCCCGGAAGUCAGGCCGACUGUUCUUUUGCAAUUGAGGUUUGGUUCAAUAGUACUGUUGCAUCCU